Molecule: ribosomal RNA, 220 nt
Filed under: Diversispora epigaea
Lineage: Eukaryota; Fungi; Glomeromycota; Glomeromycetes; Diversisporales; Diversisporaceae
Source: RNAcentral
GAACUCUAACAUAUAUGCGAGUGUUCUUGGGUCGGAUAAGGGUCUUGGGAAUGUGGCCGGUUCGCCGGUGUUGAGCCCUGGACUUGAUACGGCUCUGGGGACAGAGGACCGCAGCGCGCCUUCUUGGCAUUGGCUUCGGCCUUUUCCGCGCUAAGGAUUCUGGCUUAAUGGCUUUAAGCGACCCGUCUUGAAACACGGACCAAGGAGUCUAACAUAUAUG